CAACGUUGCCGUAGCACUUUGCCAAAGUUUUCAGAUUUCACUAGAAAUAGUAGAAAUUAUGUGGAAAUUUUGAAUUCACUGAUAAUGCCUAAUAAUGAAAACUGAGAACUGAAAGGUUGGGGAAAAUUCUAUUUUACUGACAAAUACACAACCAGGUAAAAGUGAAACUGAGGAAUGCCAAAAAGAGGAAAACUAUUUUAUAAUAAAAAAAAAACUACAACCACAUAUAAGGAGAAUUUGAAAAUUAACGUUAAUUCAAGAGAAUUAAUAAAUCAAUUUUAAAUAAAUGUGAAAUGAAAAUAUUUACUAUUUGAUAGUUCACUGGUUUCGUCAAAAUACAUGACUUCUUAUUCUUAACCAUAGAUAGUAUAAUAGAUUAUUGCCAUUAUUUUAUUAUUAUUGGUUAUAUUUUGGGAUUACGUUCCUUGUGACCUUGUGUUUUAUCGAAGUGUUGUAUACAAAAUAAGAAAAGCACCAUGGGUCGUGUACGUACGAAGACAGUUAAAAAAGCAUCAAAAGUAAUAAUUGAAAAAUAUUACACUCGCCUAACCUUAGAUUUUCACACAAAUAAAAGAAUCUGCGAAGAAGUAGCCUCUAUUCCUACGAAGCCUCUCAGGAAUAAAAUUGCUGGAUUUGUCACCCAUUUGAUGAAAAGGCUUCGAUACUCUCAAGUUCGAGGAAUAUCAAUAAAACUUCAGGAAGAAGAACGAGAGAGACGUGACAAUUUUGUUCCCGCAGUAUCGGCUUUGGAUAGUGAUAUCAUCGAAGUUGACAACGACACCAAAGAGAUGCUUAAGCAGUUGGAUUUCACAAAUUUGCCUGGAUUACAACUAACUCAACCAACUACUAAUAAUUUCAAUAGAAGGGUUUGAGAAAAUAUAACAAAUAAAAGGUA
Molecule: long non-coding RNA, 895 nt
Organism: Harmonia axyridis
Lineage: Eukaryota; Metazoa; Arthropoda; Insecta; Coleoptera; Coccinellidae
Exons: 2
Source: RefSeq, a predicted model, not a curated record